RNAcentral lists this ribosomal RNA (158 nucleotides) under Sclerotinia sclerotiorum. RNAcentral describes it as "partial 18S ribosomal RNA". The record is from RNAcentral. Lineage: Eukaryota; Fungi; Ascomycota; Leotiomycetes; Helotiales; Sclerotiniaceae.
UCGCUCGACUUUUAUUUAGAUUCGUUUUUUUUUGGUGGUAUUAAUGUCGUCAUGUCUUUUUCCUAUGCAUCAAAGUAUAAUAAACAAGGUGGGGGUUUAACCUUUCGGAAAAACCUCUAAAGAUCCUUCCGUUAGGUGAACUGCGGAAGGAUCAUUAC